Molecule: long non-coding RNA, 1157 nt
Filed under: Homo sapiens (human)
Lineage: Eukaryota; Metazoa; Chordata; Mammalia; Primates; Hominidae
Description: HSALNT0343313
Source: RNAcentral
CGCCAUGAUGAGGAGGUCGGCGCGGCUGUGCUGCGGGCAGGCAGCGGAGAGGGCUCGCGGCGAGGGCUCCAGCUUACCCCGCCGCCGCGUCGCGUGCACGGAGCGCUUCAGAGGUUUGGAGGGGGCCGGAACCUCAAAAGCAACUGGAUGAGCACAACGCGGACGCCCCGGAGAAGCGGCGCAAGCGGGCCCAAAAUGGUUGCUGAUCAGACGAGUGGCAUCUCUCGCCCCCCUACCGCGGGAAUUGGGACCUCCAGACUGUGCCUGGGGGAUCGGCAAGUGGUUCCCCUCUGGUUUUUUCGGCGCUGCCUUCCCGGUGGUAUCCUCACUCUCUCUCUUUGAAAUGACCUCUGCUUUCCUAUCUCUAACUCUUCCCAGAUAUUUGAAAGCAAGUUUUUGUACAAAGCAACAUAUGAAUGUAUUCAGCCAUUCGAUCGUUCGGCGAACAUUUCUAGGUGUCUCGUGCUGUGCCAGAUAUUGUUCUGAGUGCGCUGAAGAUGCACCUGUUAGCAAGACAAAGUCCUGGCUCCCACGGAGCUUAUUCGAAGCAAUAGGGGCCCCCAAGCAGAUCCCAACAUUAAUACCAUCGCCUCCAGGCAGCAUUUUUUCAUCUCCCAAGAUUGGGUGCAUUAGACCCUUUGUCAUCACACCCAGUACUCCCCACGUUUAUUGAGCGCUCACGAUGCGUCAGGCCCUAGUGGAAGCCUUUAUGCACAUUAUCUUCUUUCUCAUUUAAUUAUCAAGUAGAGCCCACAAGGUAGGUACUACCUUUUUUUUAACUUUUGAGACAGGGUCUCACUGUAUCUCCCAGACUGGAAUACAGUGGCGCAAACACAGCUCACUGCAGUCUCAUCCUGGGCUCAAGCAAUCCUCCCAUCUCAGCCUCCUGAGUAGCUGGGACCACAGGCAGAUGCCUGUUGCCCAGGCUGGUCUCCAACUCCUGGGCUCAAGCCGUUCUACCUUAGCCUCCUAAAGUGCAGGGAUUACAGGUGUGCAACUGUGCCCGGCCUGGGUAGUUACUAAUAUUAUCCCAUUUUACAGAUGAAGAAACAAGGACAUAUAGGGGUUACUUGCCCAAACCCAGACAAUAAGCUAGAUCUGAAAGUCAUCAGCCUGACCUCAGAGUUGUACUUUUAACCAUUAUCAGGGUCUCAGGC